This 1273-nucleotide ribosomal RNA is filed under the name metagenome. Its description in RNAcentral is "bacterial LSU rRNA". It matches the Rfam family "Bacterial large subunit ribosomal RNA", at positions 1638 to 2925 of the family's 2925-position model. The record is from RNAcentral.
AUGCCUGUACCAUAACCGACACAGGUGGGUAGGUAGAGUAUACUAAGGGGCGCGAGAUAACUCUCUCUAAGGAACUCGGCAAAAUGACUCCGUAACUUCGGGAGAAGGAGUGCCUUAUUUAUAAGGUUGCAAUAACAAGAUCCAAGCAACUGUUUAUCAAAAACACAGGUCUCCGCUAAGUCGUAAGACGAUGUAUGGGGGCUGACGCCUGCCCAGUGCCAGAAGGUUAAAGAAGUUGGUUAGUGUAUGCGAAGCUGAUGACUGAAGCCCUGGUGAACGGCGGCCGUAACUAUAACGGUCCUAAGGUAGCGAAAUUCCUUGUCGGGUAAGUUCCGACCCGCACGAAAGGCGUAAUGAUUUGGAUACUGUCUCGGAGAGAGGCUCGGUGAAAUAGACUUGUCUGUGAAGAUGCGGACUACCUGCACCAGGACAGAAAGACCCUAUGAAGCUUUACUGUAACUUGAAAUUGGAAUUGGACUUUGCUUGCGCAGUAUAGGUGGGAAGCGUUGAAGAUAUUCUUGCGGGAGUAUUGGAGCUAUCAGUGAGAUACCACUCUUGUAAUGUUAGAUUUCUAACUUUGAACCAUAAUCUGGUCAAAGAACAGUUUCAGGUGGGCAGUUUGACUGGGGCGGUCGCCUCCCAAAUGGUAACGGAGGCGUACAAAGGUUUCCUCUGAACGGAUAGAAAUCGUAUCUAGAGUGUAAAGGCAUUAGGAAGCUUGACUGUGAGACCUACAAGUCGAGCAGGGACGAAAGUCGGUCUUAGUGAUCUGACGGUACUGAGUGGAAAGGCCGUCACUCAACGGAUAAAAGUUACUCUAGGGAUAACAGGCUGAUCUCCCCCAAGAGUUCACAUCGACGGGGAGGUUUGGCACCUCGAUGUCGGCUCAUCGCAUCCUGGGGCGGUAGUACGUCCCAAGGGUUGGGCUGUUCGCCCAUGAAAGCGGUACGCGAGCUGGGUUCAGAACGUCGUGAGACAGUUCGGUCCAUAUCCGGUGUAGGCGUUAGAAUAUUGAGAGGAGCCUUCUUUAGUACGAGAGGACCGAGAAGGACACACCGCUGGUGUACCAGUUAUCGUGCCAACGGUAAACGCUGGGUAGCUAUGUGUGGAGUGGAUAACCGCUGAAAGCAUCUAAGUGGGAAGCCCACCUCAAGAUGAGUGCUCUCACAGGGUUAACCUGGUAAGGUCACGGGAAGACCACCCGUUAAUAGGCACUAGGUGGAAGUCCAGUAAUGGAUGGAGCCAAGGUGUACUAACAGACCGAGGGCUUGAC